This 72-nucleotide transfer RNA is filed under the name Camelus bactrianus (Bactrian camel). It matches the Rfam family "tRNA". From Rfam's summary of the family: Transfer RNA (tRNA) molecules are approximately 80 nucleotides in length. Their secondary structure includes four short double-helical elements and three loops (D, anti-codon, and T loops). The record is from Rfam by way of RNAcentral. RNAcentral also lists the same sequence under 2 other names. Lineage: Eukaryota; Metazoa; Chordata; Mammalia; Artiodactyla; Camelidae.
GAGGGUAUAGCUCAGUGAUAAAGCACAUGCUUAGCAUGCAUGAGGUCCUAGUUCCAAUCCCCAGUGCCUCCA